Long non-coding RNA from Zalophus californianus (California sea lion), 3129 nucleotides. RefSeq lists it as uncharacterized. NCBI's taxonomy places the organism in Eukaryota, Metazoa, Chordata, Mammalia, Carnivora, Otariidae. The transcript is spliced from 3 exons. The record is from RefSeq and is a predicted model, not a curated record.
AAAGGGUUGGGGAAUUUCCACUUCUGAUUAAAAUGAUGGCAGAGGUGACGACCCUUAACGAUUGGUAAGAUUUGGAGUAGAAUUCACCCUGAGUUUGGUGGGGCUUAUCUGUCAAGGAUGCAAGAGGUACGGAGGUUACGAAGCUCCCACCUGUCGCUCUCCGCCAGACGCCGAGACUGCGGUCGGAGAGUUGCUGCACGGGGAUUGGAGGAAAGAAGCAAUCAGUCUCAGCUAGUCUCCACCUUCCUGACAGCCCCUGGUUGGAGGAGCGGAGCGUCAGUCACUAGAGCGGUCGCCACCUCUGGGACAGGAAAAGUCUGAGAAACUGUCACAGUCAAGAGGAGCCUAAGGAGACAUGAUGACAAAAUGUAAUAUAGUAUCCUGGAUGGAAUACUGGAACAGAAAAAGGACAUGAGGUAAAGAAGAUGGUAAUGGGUUCACUUUAUGUGGUUGGUUUCAGACUGCAAUGGAAAGAACUUAGAUAUGUACAACAUUAUAUGGUAAGUCCUCCAGAAACCCCCAAGAGAAACAUACACAACAGAAACACAGAUAAAUAUCUUUACUGUAACUGGAAACAAUUUUUUUGAAGAUUUUAUUUAUUUUUGAGAAGAGAGAACAUGAGCAGUGGGGAGGGGCAGAGGGAGAGGGAGAAGCAGACUCUCCACUGAGCAGGGAGCUCAGUGCUCCCAGGACCCUGGGAUCACGACCCCAGCCAAAGGCAGAUAUUCAACUGACUGAGCCACCCAGGCGGCCCUGGAAACAAAUUUUUAAAAGAUGUCAAGUCGUAGCUUUGGUUUUCGUAAAAGAAAACAUCUUGCUGCAGAAAGGUCAUGUGGUGAGCAAUGAAGAUUAAGCCACUUUUCCCCCAAAUGAGUCCUUGGUGAAUAUAUUUUGGGUAUUGCCUCCACAGAAAGAUGCAUACUGAAAAUAUACUUUUCUCCAACCCUCAGUAGUAAUUAAAAGGGAAGCCCAAGAAUCACACUGAUAAAUAAGUAUCAGCAAGUGUAUAGGCCGUCAGCCCAGAUACCUUGAUCCACAUGUAUAAGCUCAUUGAGAAUAACAGGGUUCUAAGAGCCUGCAAUCAAUCCUUUGAAGAAACUCGGAACUUUACCAUGUGCAUCACAAUGAAGCCCCUACCUCUCCUAUUCCACAGAUGUGGGAAACUUGAGACUAAAUACUCCAAACAUCCUGUUUCCUUAUGUCCUCUUAUACCCUGCAAGUUGGGCAGCCACACCUACCUUCUCUAGAACUCUCCUUGCAAGGUACAGGGCAUUCUGCCACAGACUCUAGAAGGUCCCAGGACUGGCAAAAGUUUAGAAUCUCAUUUUCUGAGCACUUUCCUGAUGAGAGAACAGUUAGAUAGAAAACCCCACAGCAAGACUCAACUUAUCUUCCAGGUGGUCCAACUCAUAGUGAAUGAGUACUUUUGAAUCAGAAGGACCCUUAAGGAGUCCUCUAGGUCUCAUACUACCCCUUUAAGAAAGAAGAAACUGGAGGACUGGGCAUUAGGGUCAAUACCUCCUGCAAAAAUCUCUAAGGUGAUGUUUCCAUCCAUCACCCUCUGAUGUUUCCUGUAAGAAUCAGAAGUACAUCAUUGCUUACCAAAGUGAGAAGAGAGCAAGCCCCAGAUUCCAACUCAAAGAGUAAUUUUGGCUUAUAAGUGAGAAAUGAGUCACUCUGAGGACUGUUCUUAGAGACUCUUGUGGAGUGUUUGAACUCAACUUUGUUUACCACACCCCUUGCUCAUCAAGGCAGGCCUAUAAAACAAGAGACGCAGCAUGGCGUUCACCUGCAGGGCAGGUAACAGUGCCACCUCCCAGAUGUUCUUCCCCAAGGAAGUGGCAUGGUAUUUGCUGUGGCUCCAAGAGGACACCUAUAGACAGUCUAGUUGAAACACGAGUCUGGUAUAAGCUCACAGAAGCUAAAAGAAAAAUUGUGGUCAAAACUCUACUCUGAAACUCUUCACCUAGAGGGACCUCUUAAACCCUGGCAUUGGCACCACUGGUGACAAGGAAGAAAAAAACAGCCAGGGUUGGACUUCUCCAGCAUAGAUCUAGUAGAUGAAAAAGGUUUGUCAUUUGAAGAGGAUUGCUUCACCAUUACAAGAGUUAUGUAGGACAAAAGUCUGAGAAAUGGGCAAGCUGGGGUUUGGUUAAAGCCCUAGUCUGUCCCAGUGCCUCUGCUCAUAAGCUGGCAGGGUUUUUAACCAAGAUUGAGCCAUAAAAGCGAGUCCAAAGAAAGGAGCAAUACUGUUCUGUGUACUAGGGGUUUCAUAUAAAUAUGAGAAUUCCUAGGGGCACCUGGGUGGCUCAGUCGUUAAGUGUCUGCCUUCAGCUCAGGUCAUGAUCCCAGGGUCCUGAGAUUGAGCCCUGCAUCGGGCUCCUUGCUUAGCGGGGAGCCUGCUUCUCCCUCUCCACUCCCCCUGCUUGUGUUCCCUCUCUCACUAUACUCUCUCUGUCAAAUAAAUAAAUUAAAAUCUUUAAAAAAAAUCAGAAUUCCUAGAGAGGGAUUCCCUCAAAAGCACUGGUGAGACCACUAUUCAGAGCCUGAUCAUCUCAUUCUCAACAAUUAUUUUCACAAAUUCCUUGUUGUACUCUCAUAUGCCAUUAGCAGGAGUGUAAAUUGAUAAAAUCUUUAGGGAAAUCAGUUUGGAGUUGCCUUCACAUUUUUAAAUGCAUUCACCCUUUGAUCUAGCAAAAUCCACUUCCAAUUCUGGGGGAAUUGGCACAGAGACACUCACACAUGAGUUCAAAAAUAGUGUAUGAAGGUGUUCACUUAAACCUUGCUUGUCCAUCAAUAAGUGGUUAAAUAAGUAGUGGUGCAACUAUAAAAUGCUAACCAUCAUCUCAGCUUUUAGCAAGUCAUCAUCUUUUUGCUGGUGGAGGGUCUUGCCUCAAUGUUGAUGUCUUCUGACUGAUCAGGGUGGUGGUUGCUGAAGACUGGGGUAGCUGCGGCCAUUUCUUAAAAUAAGACAACAAUGAAGUUUGCCUCAUUAAAGGACUCUUUUUCUCAUGAAUGAUUUUUCUGUAGCAUGUAAUGCUGUCAGACAGUAGAGCUUCUUUCAAAAUUGGAAAAAUCCAGGGGUGCCUGUCUGGCUCGGUAGAGCCCCAUGUUGGGUGGAGAGAUUAC